This is a long non-coding RNA of Galeopterus variegatus (Sunda flying lemur), 1703 nucleotides long. RefSeq lists it as uncharacterized. The transcript is spliced from 4 exons. The record is from RefSeq and is a predicted model, not a curated record. Lineage: Eukaryota; Metazoa; Chordata; Mammalia; Dermoptera; Cynocephalidae.
UACAAACUCAUCAGAGGGAGCCUCAUCCAGGUGGCCUGAAGGUGACCCCACAGCUGCCUCCACUUCCCUCAACCCACCUGAGGAUUUCUGGGCCUUGCUCCUUAUGGAUUUUGACCUCAGGGACAGGAGCAGACCUCUUCACCUAGAAUCCUCCAGAGCACCCAUGCCGGUGUCUGCACCAAGGAAGCAAUGAAGAAUGAAGAACAGAUAUGGGGAGAAUGCAGUUUUGACUCCUCAGGGAGGACACAUUCAGGCUAGCCUGUUGGAGGACGUGGGACCUGGGAGAGCCACGUGUCCCAGUCACGUGAGUGAGACCAGCCUGUAGCAGAAGGACCAUCCAGCAAAGUUCAGCCAAAAUCACUGACCCUCAGAUGCCCAAUGUGCAUCCAAAAGCACUUACCAUUCAACCUGAGGUGAAGCACAAGAUGGCAGUAGACAUCCUGACAGCCAUUCUGAUUUAUCGAUACACUCAUCUCUAUUCCUACACUAAAAAUAUCUGCAAGUUUACAACCUUCUUCUGAUCAGUAAAUAUAAGGAUUUGGGCUAAUUGGAUAUCUGACGACAUUCAACUCCAAGAUUCUGUGAGACUCUGUUUCCAUGGUGCUGGGGUUCUAAUAUUCCAUAGCACAGGAAAAUCACUUUUCAGAGACAUCUACAGGCAGUCCCACUGUCCUGUCUUGAACCUCCUUAGCCAAAGACUGAACAUGGCUGGAAUGGGAUAUGUAAUGAAGAAGGGCACCUUCAGAGCAGACCCCAUGUACCUGCGGAAGGCCCUUGUGUAUAACCUCGGAGAGGAAAAGAGGACCAGGCUUCACAUUCAAAAACUCCAGAAGGUUUUAAAUAUCCAGCUCAGGGAGAUCGAUAGAGAAAAAGCAGCCCUGAAGAAAUUUUUGGUAAAGCUUCACAAGACAACUGGUUGUUUUCCUCGAGUGCAGUUCUGGUGACCGAUGCCUCUGUAGGUGAAGAGUUCAUCUAAAAGUUUCAUUACAGAAUACAUCUAAGUCUCCUUCUGUUAUCUCUGUGUGACCCAAGAAAGCAAUAUAAGCAACUUCUGGGACAAGCCAAAAAAGAAAAAAGACUAUACAAUUGAAGACACAAAUGGAAUGUGGAAUGUCUACAGUAGAAUCAACUGAUAUUUCCUACAGUAGAGAGAAUAAGACAUUGAUUUUUUCCAAAUGAUCCAUUUCUUUACAACUCGAGGUGGUAAAAUACAGUGUAUACAUUGUUUUCUUACAAACUUUCCUUGAGACAAGAACAAGCUUAGCUAUUUUAGAGAUUUCUGAUAUUGAUCAUGAAAUACAUAUUGUAUUUGCUUUAAUACUAUUUUUCUCAUCAAUAGAAAUUUCAAUUAUUUUUGUAUAGCUUUAAUAGCACGAAUAAAUAAAAGUUGAUGCUAAAUUUAAGAUGAAAGUAACACAGUAGUGGGAAAUUCAUAGAAUAGUGAGUCUAUAAGAGAACUCAGUUCAAAUCUAGGUUUUGUCAUGUAUUACCUGUGUGAUCUUAGGAUUAGAAACUCUUUUCUUUUAGUCAAGAUGGAGAUUAUAAUAUCUAUAUUAAAAAAUUGUUUUAAGGAUUAAGUAAGAUAAUAUAUAUACAAGGCAUAUUGCAGAUACCCCCCAAAUGGUAGUAGCUCUUAUUGUAAUUAUUGUUGUUUUCAUUAUUAUUUUUACCACUGUGUAAUAAAGCCCAGGUUGUAUUCCUAA